Molecule: long non-coding RNA, 627 nt
Filed under: Homo sapiens (human)
Lineage: Eukaryota; Metazoa; Chordata; Mammalia; Primates; Hominidae
Description: HSALNT0331312
Source: RNAcentral
ACCCGCCUGGCCCAACAGUGACAGAGCAGGGCGCGCAGCCGCUGAGUGCUCUGGAGUCCCUGCCCCGAGGUGCCACGCCCACGUCGGCCUCACCCGGGCAGGCAUGGGGCGGUCGGGCUUAGCGCCGCACCCCGCCGGCCAGAGCCACCGUCUCUCCAGACGCGGCCCCAGCGCCCACUGGGGAUGGCAAAGACGACAUCCGGUGCGCCGAGGCUGCUCACAAAAUGUACAAAACGCAGCGCCUGCAGGUGUGCUCAGAAGAGGAACUCCGCAGAGUGGAGGUAAGUCUCCGACAUGGGAGAGAGGGAGAGGAUCCCCUCUAGAAACCUGGCCUGGGCUCACAUGAUCCUGUCCUGGUAUGUCCCAGUGUCCAGCAGGAACUUCUUGGGUCCAAGACAAAUCUCCAGCUUCUGGCUCCCUGCUGGGCACUCGGUAGGUGCCUGAUAAAUAUUUGCAGGAUUCUGUAAGAAUCAGAAUUCCAGUUGUGCUAUCUGAGGAGUCCGACAGAAAAGCAGAAGAGGUUAUACCAGUGGAGGGAAGGUGGUCUUGGGGUCUGAACAGUUCGUCCACUGCUGCUCAGGUAGGUGGUUUCACCCAGGGUCAGUUUUGUCUUCUGGAGAUAGGCCA